Molecule: unclassified non-coding RNA, 345 nt
Filed under: soil metagenome
Description: partial contains 5.8S ribosomal RNA, internal transcribed spacer 2, and large subunit ribosomal RNA
Rfam family: 5.8S ribosomal RNA (bases 1-120)
Source: RNAcentral
GAUGAAGAACGCAGCGAAAUGCGAUACGUAAUGUGAAUUGCAGAAUUCAGUGAAUCAUCGAGUCUUUGAACGCACAUUGCGCCCCCAGGUAUUCCGGGGGGCAUGCCUGUCCGAGCGUCAUUGCUGCCCUCAAGCACGGCUUGUGUGUUGGGCCUCCGUCCUCCUCCCGGGGGACGGGCCCGAAAGGCAGCGGCGGCACCGCGUCCGGUCCUCGAGCGUAUGGGGCUUCGUCACCCGCUCUUGUAGGCCCGGCCGGCGCUUGCCGACACAUCAAUCUUUUUUCCAGGUUGACCUCGGAUCAGGUAGGGAUACCCGCUGAACUUAAGCAUAUCAAUAAGCGGAGGA